GGACAGGCGCUUGCACAGGGUGAGGCAUUGGGCAGGACCUGGGCUCGCGACCCCCAAGAAAGCCGAGCACCAGGGAGCUGCUGGGGGCCCUGUCCUCUGUCUGGACAGCCCACUUCUCCCCAAAUGCAGGUAGGAUCCGAAACGCCCGUGCGGUGGGAUGGCAGCACUUCCAAGUACUAGGUGUGAUAUUUGCCGCCAGCAUCAGCACAAACCAGGCCUCUUGGUAGAAGAAACUGCCCUGGACUUGCUUCAAGGACCUGAGCGAGCAAACACUUCCUGCACCAGUUUGUACAGCCAGCCCCUGCAAGUCCUGGCCAGGUCCUGGGUCCUCACCACGAUCCCAUUGACCACACAGGUCAUUUGGUGACUUUGAGGGACAGGCAAGCUCACCCGUAAAAGGAGAAAAUGCAUUUUGCUGAGCUCAGACUGGACUAGACGUGCUUAUAGAGUAAGAUAGGACUCUAGGCUUCAACUUUGUUUGCUGCAAGGAUGUUAGGCUUUGGGACAGUGGUGCUUUGGUGGUUUUCAGUCAGAAAAAAAAAAAAAAGGAGAAAAUUCACAGCUCAGCAUUGUCUUCUGCUAUAUGGGGACCAAGGAUUACACUGAGAGCCCGGCGUGGACUUUUACCAGUGCAGGGCACUAUGGGGAAGACCGUAUGGCUUCUGAAGUCAUCGCUUCUUGCAUUGAAUCCAGGCUCUGCCAUUAGGCUUAGACCCUGAAGAUGCCCUGCUGUUGGAAGAAGACACAGCAGCCACACAACCUCAUACUCCGAUUUGAAAAUCCCCUUCCAGCGGACCUAUCCUGCAGGCCCUUGAAUUGACCCCUUAAAGUCUUCGAAGCAUCACACCCGCCGCCCCUCCUCGGCUGUCUUGUGACCACAACCCCUUGACUCUUCCCGACAACAUUUGCACCGACUUAGUAUUCUGGUGCUUUGGGGAGCAACAUUUAAAAAUAAACCAACUUGGCACACUGUC
RNAcentral lists this long non-coding RNA (974 nucleotides) under Mus pahari (shrew mouse). Its description in RNAcentral is "lncRNA (MGP_PahariEiJ_G0006351.1)". Lineage: Eukaryota; Metazoa; Chordata; Mammalia; Rodentia; Muridae. The record is from RNAcentral.